Molecule: non-coding RNA, 77 nt
Organism: Brassica napus (rape)
Lineage: Eukaryota; Viridiplantae; Streptophyta; Magnoliopsida; Brassicales; Brassicaceae
Source: Rfam
AGCCUAUGAUGUGUGAGAUUGUCCGUACCAUCUGAGAUUUCUCCUUGAUGAGUUGUAACCUCUAAGUUCUGAGGCUU